GUGGUUCCAGUAGUGUGUAGUGGUUAUCACGUUCACUUCACACGCGAAAAGGUCUCCGGUUCAAUCCCGGGACGCAAACCACA
Non-coding RNA from Trichonephila inaurata madagascariensis, 83 nucleotides. Lineage: Eukaryota; Metazoa; Arthropoda; Arachnida; Araneae; Nephilidae. The record is from the annotation of a GenBank genome assembly.